This 1242-nucleotide ribosomal RNA is filed under the name uncultured bacterium. Its description in RNAcentral is "partial 16S ribosomal RNA". It matches the Rfam family "Bacterial small subunit ribosomal RNA", at positions 202 to 1453 of the family's 1533-position model. The record is from RNAcentral.
CAAUGCUACCACUUACAGAUGAAUCCGCGUCCCAUUAGCCAGUUGGUGGGGUAAUGGCCUACCAAAGCGACGAUGGUUAGCGGGUCUGAGAGGAUGAUCCGCCACACUGGAACUGGAACACGGACCAGACUCCUACGGGAGGCAGCAGUGAGGAAUAUUGCGCAAUGGGGGCAACCCUGACGCAGCGACGCCGCGUGGAUGAUGAAGGCCCUUGGGUCGUAAAAUCCUGUCAGAUGGAAAGAAAUGCCACAGGGCUAAUAUCUUUGUGGUUUGACGGUACCAUCAAAGGAAGCACCGGCUAACUCCGUGCCAGCAGCCGCGGUAAUACGGAGGGUGCAAGCGUUGUUCGGAAUUAUUGGGCGUAAAGGGCGCGUAGGCGGUUUGAUAAGUCUGAGGUGAAAGUUCGGGGCUCAACCUGGGAAGUGCAUUAGAAACUGUCAGACUAGAGUGCAGGAGAGGGCAAUGGAAUUCCAUGUGUAGCGGUAAAAUGCGUAGAUAUAUGGAGGAACACCAGUGGCGAAGGCGGUUGCCUGGCCUGUAACUGACGCUGAGGCUCGAAAGCGUGGGGAGCAAAUAGGAUUAGAUACCCUAGUAGUCCACGCUGUAAACGAUGAUUACUAAGUGUUGGAGCAAUUCAGUGCUGCAGUUAACGCAAUAAGUAAUCCGCCUGGGGAGUAUGCACGCAAGUGUGAAACUCAAAGGAAUUGACGGGGGCCCGCACAAGCGGUGGAGUAUGUGGUUUAAUUCGAAGCAACGCGAAGAACCUUACCAAGUCUUGACAUACCGUGCAAAACCCUGGAGACAGGGGAAUAGUUAUGGCGGAUACAGGUGGUGCAUGGUUGUCGUCAGCUCGUGUCGUGAGAUGUUGGGUUAAGUCCCGCAACGAGCGCAACCCUUGCCUUUAGUUACCAGCAUUCAGUUGGGGACUCUAGAGGGACUGCCGGUGACAAACCGGAGGAAGGUGGGGAUGACGUCAAAUCAUCAUGCCCCUUAUGACUUGGGCUACACACGUACUACAAUGGCGUAUACAGAGAGACGCGAAGUGGCGACAUGGAGCAAAUCUCACAAAGUACGUCUCAGUUCAGAUUGAAGUCUGCAACUCGACUUCAUGAAGGCGGAAUCGCUAGUAAUCGCGGAUCAGCAUGCCGCGGUGAAUACGUUCUCGGGCCUUGUACACACCGCCCGUCAAACCAUGAGAGUUAGUUGUACCAGAAGCAGUUGAGCUAACCGCAAGGGGGCAGG